GAGCAGAGAGAAGUUGAGUGGCCCAGCAGUCUCUAUCUAAGAGUUGUCUGCUUUUGAUACCGAAGUGUUUCACAUUCUAGGAAGAUGGCAGCUGCGCGGCAACCAUAGCCAUGGCAGCCUGGGAGCUACAUCUGCCGAGUCUGCUUGAAGAUGAAGGAGGCUGUGGUGCUUAAUUUCCCAUAUCAUGUGCUAUGGAUUCCUCUUUGGAAGCUUUUCCUAUCAUCCUGAAAGACUCCACCAACUACUAAUAUUUGCUGGUUAUACAAGUUCAUGGCUACUCAAGCAGUCAGAUAGCCAACACCAACCACUAAACGGAAGUUAAACAUCUUUCAGGAAUCAGUUAAAUACAGCUUGGGUUCCUCCUUGCUGGAUGGAAAGUUGGAUUUAAAAUGUCUGAGUUUGGCAUUAAUUCAGAGGAGAAGGCAGUAUUGAGGAGCCAGACAAUAGCAAGUAUGACAUCUCCACCACAUUUGACUUAUAUCAAAGUAAAGUCCUACACAGCUCUAAAUGGAAAGUCUCCAUCAAAUCCACCCCUCAGAGCUCAGGGCUCCCCACAGAAGAGGUGGAGACAGUGCAAGAGCCAAUGGGGACAGAGGACACCAGAACAGUCUGAAUCAACUGAGAGACGAUCAUAAGAAUUUACAGAGACUGAAGCAGCACGCUCAGGUCCUACAUGGGUCUGCACCAGGUCCUUUGUGUAAAUAUUAUAGCUUUCAAUGUAAUGCUUAUACGGAGCUCUGGAGUGUGUGACUGAGUGGAUCUCUGUCUCCUGUGCCUUCUCGUGGGCUCCUUUUCUUCAGUUGGCUUGCUUUGUCCAACUUUAAUGUGAUGGUUUUGUUUUACUUUAUUGUAUUUUCUUCUGUUGCAUCUUGUUCUCUCUCAGACGCCUGUUCUUUUCUAAUGAGAGACAGAAAGAAGAUGGAUUCAAAAAGGAGAAGAGGUGGGGUAGAACUAGGAGAAGUAGAGAGAUGGGGGCUAAUAAGGUUGUAUUGUAUGAGAAAAGAAUCUAUUUUUAAUUAGAAGAAAAAACUUAUAAAGGGCUUAUGCUUUCUGGGUUCCCCUCUGUCUUGUAGGGAGUCUUUUUCUCUGUGUGCCUGCAGUAUUUGUACAUUUACUUGCCUCUAAUAAAACUUUCCUUUGGCUGGG
This is a long non-coding RNA of Grammomys surdaster, 1146 nucleotides long. RefSeq lists it as uncharacterized. The transcript is spliced from 4 exons. The record is from RefSeq and is a predicted model, not a curated record. NCBI's taxonomy places the organism in Eukaryota, Metazoa, Chordata, Mammalia, Rodentia, Muridae.